RNAcentral lists this ribosomal RNA (497 nucleotides) under uncultured bacterium. RNAcentral's name for it is "partial 16S ribosomal RNA". It matches the Rfam family "Bacterial small subunit ribosomal RNA", at positions 28 to 507 of the family's 1533-position model. The record is from RNAcentral.
GAUGAACGCUGGCGGCGUGCCUAAUACAUGCCAGUCGAGCGAACGGACGAGACUCUUGCUUGGCUGAUGUUAGCGGCGGACGGGUGAGUCACACGAGGAUAACCUACCUAUAAGACUGAGAUAACUUCGGGAAACCGGAGCUAACACCGGAUAAUAUUUUGAACCGCGUGGUUCAAAAGAGAAAGCCGGUCUUGCUGUCACUAAUAGAUGGUUCCGCGCUGCAUUAGCUAGUUGGUACGGUAACGGCUUACCAAGGCAACGAUGCAUAGCCGACCUGAGAGGGUGAUCGGCCACACUGGAACUGAGACACGGUCCAGACUCCUACGGGAGGCAGCAGUAGGGAAUCUUCCGCAAUGGGCGAAAGCCUGACGCAGCAACGCCGCGUGUGUGAUGAAGGUCUUCGGAUCGUAAAACUCUGUUAGUAGGGAAGAACAGAUGUGUAAGUAACUGUGCACAUCUUGACGGUACCUAAUCAGAAAGCCACGGCUAACUACGUG